AACAAAGGAACAAAGACUAAGAACGCCGCGUCCUGCGGCA
RNAcentral lists this small RNA (40 nucleotides) under Bacillus sp. MUM 13. Its description in RNAcentral is "Bacillaceae-1 RNA". It matches the Rfam family "Bacillaceae-1 RNA", at positions 1 to 40 of the family's 67-position model. The record is from Rfam by way of RNAcentral. Lineage: Bacteria; Bacillati; Bacillota; Bacilli; Caryophanales; Bacillaceae.